UGUGGGUAGGGGUGAAAGGCCAAUCAAACUCCGUGAUAGCUGGUUCUCCCCGAAAUGCAUUUAGGUGCAGCGUGAUGUGUGCUUACCGGAGGUAGAGCUACUGGAUGGCCGAGCGGGACUAUCAUCUUAGUGACGUCAGCCAAACUCCGAAUGCCGGUGAAGUUUGAGCAUUGCAGUGAGACUGUGGGGGAUAAGCUUCAUAGUCGAGAGGGAAACAGCCCAGAUCGCCGGUUAAGGCCCCUAAGGGUGUGCUAAGUGGAAAAGGAUGUGGGAUCGCGAAGACAGCCAGGAGGUUGGCUUAGAAGCAGCCAUCCUUGAAAGAGUGCGUAAUAGCUCACUGGUCGAGUGGUUCUGCGCCGACAAUGUAGUGGGGCUCAAGCACACCGCCGAAGCCGCGGCAUAGUUUUUACUAUGGGUAGGGGAGCGUCGUGUGUGGGGUGAAGCCGUAUCGGAAGAAGCGGUGGACUGCACGCGAGUGAGAAUGCAGGCAUGAGUAACGAAUGAUACGUGAGAAUCGUAUCCGCCGAAUGACUAAGGGUUCCUGGGUCAAGUUCGUCUUCCCAGGGUGAGUCGGGUCCUAAGGCGAGGCCGACAGGCGUAGUCGAUGGUCAACGGGUUGAUAUUCCCGUACCCGUAUAUACGCGCCCAGUAUCGAAGCGGUGAUACUAACCACCCAGAUCCGCCGACAUGCACAUCUUUGAUGUGUGGUUGGUGGUGAUGCGUGGGGCCUGAUCCGUUGUAGGUCAGUGAUGGGGUGACGCAGCAAGGUAGCCAAGCCGCUUAUUGGAUUGCGGUGCAAGCGUGUGGCACGACAGCAUGUCAAAUGCGGCUGUCAAUAGUGUGAGGCGUGAUGCGUAGCCCGUAUUGGGUGAUGUUGGUGAUCCUCUACUGCCGAGAAAAGCCUCUAGCGAUGUGUGUAUACGGCCCGUACCCGAAACCGACACAGGUAGUCAAGUAGAGAAUACUCAGGCGGUCGGGAGAACUGUGGUUAAGGAACUCGGCAAAUUACCCCCGUAACUUCGGGAGAAGGGGGACCCAAACUGGUGCCCGAUCUAUGCGAUCGUGGUUGCUGGCGUGGGUCGCAGAGAAUAGAGGGGAGCGACUGUUUAUCAAAAACACAGGUCCGUGCGAAGACGAUGAAGUUGAUGUAUACGGACUGACGCCUGCCCGGUGCUGGAAGGUUAAGAGGACCUGUUAGGACAUUUAGUCCGAAGCGGAGAAUUUAAGCCCCAGUAAACGGCGGUGGUAACUAUAACCAUCCUAAGGUAGCGAAAUUCCUUGUCGGGUAAGUUCCGACCUGCACGAAUGGCGUAACGACUCCCCUGCUGUCUCAACCACAGACCCGGUGAAAUUGCACUACGAGUAAAGAUGCUCGUUACGCGCGGCAGGACGAAAAGACCCCGGGACCUUCACUAUAGCUUGGUAUUGGCAUUCGGUGCGGUUUGUGUAGGAUAGGUGGGAGACGUUGAAGCGGCCACGCCAGUGGUUGUGGAGUCGUUGUUGAAAUACCACUCUGACCGUAGUGGAUAUCUAACCUUGGCCCAUGAUCUGGGUUGGGGACAGUGCCUGGUGGGUAGUUUAACUGGGGCGGUUGCCUCCCAAAAUGCAACGGAGGCGCCCAAAGGUUCCCUCAGCCUGGUUGGCAAUCAGGUGUUUAGAGUGUAAGUGCACAAGGGAGCUUGACUGCGAGACUUACAAGUCGAGCAGGGACGAAAGUCGGGACUAGUGAUCCGGCACCUACUUGUGGAUGUGGUGUCGCUCAACGGAUAAAAGGUACCCCGGGGAUAACAGGCUGAUCUUCCCCAAGAGUCCAUAUCGACGGGAUGGUUUGGCACCUCGAUGUCGGCUCGUCGCAUCCUGGGGCUGGAGUAGGUCCCAAGGGUUGGGCUGUUCGCCCAUUAAAGCGGCACGCGAGCUGGGUUCAGAACGUCGUGAGACAGUUCGGUCUCUAUCCGCCGCGCGCGUUGAAACUUGAAGAAGGCUGUCCCUAGUACGAGAGGACCGGGACGGACGUACCUCUGGUGUGCCAGUUGUUCCGCCAGGAGCACAGCUGGUUGGCUACGUACGGAAGGGAUAACCGCUGAAAGCAUCUAAGCGGGAAGCCUGUUUUAAGAUGAGGUUUCAUUUGAGGUUCCCAGAAGACGACUGGGUUGAUAGGCCGGAACUGGAAGCACAGCAAUGUGUGGAGGCGACCGGUACUAAUACACCAAACAAACCAACA
This 2221-nucleotide ribosomal RNA is filed under the name Corynebacterium sp. HMSC067D03. RNAcentral's name for it is "bacterial LSU rRNA". It matches the Rfam family "Bacterial large subunit ribosomal RNA", at positions 810 to 2925 of the family's 2925-position model. The record is from RNAcentral. Lineage: Bacteria; Bacillati; Actinomycetota; Actinomycetes; Mycobacteriales; Corynebacteriaceae.